AGAGUUUGAUCAUGGCUCAGAUUGAACGCUGGCGGCAGGCCUAACACAUGCAAGUCGAACGGUAACAGGAAGCAGCUUGCUGCUUUGCUGACGAGUGGCGGACGGGUGAGUAAUGUCUGGGAAACUGCCUGAUGGAGGGGGAUAACUACUGGAAACGGUGGCUAAUACCGCAUAACGUCGCAAGACCAAAGAGGGGGACCUUCGGGCCUCUUGCCAUCAGAUGUGCCCAGAUGGGAUUAGCUAGUUGGUGAGGUAACGGCUCACCAAGGCGACGAUCCCUAGCUGGUCUGAGAGGAUGACCAGCCACACUGGAACUGAGACACGGUCCAGACUCCUACGGGAGGCAGCAGUGGGGAAUAUUGCACAAUGGGCGCAAGCCUGAUGCAGCCAUGCCGCGUGUAUGAAGAAGGCCUUCGGGUUGUAAAGUACUUUCAGCGGGGAGGAAGGUGUUGUGGUUAAUAACCACAGCAAUUGACGUUACCCGCAGAAGAAGCACCGGCUAACUCCGUGCCAGCAGCCGCGGUAAUACGGAGGGUGCAAGCGUUAAUCGGAAUUACUGGGCGUAAAGCGCACGCAGGCGGUCUGUCAAGUCGGAUGUGAAAUCCCCGGGCUCAACCUGGGAACUGCAUUCGAAACUGGCAGGCUUGAGUCUUGUAGAGGGGGGUAGAAUUCCAGGUGUAGCGGUGAAAUGCGUAGAGAUCUGGAGGAAUACCGGUGGCGAAGGCGGCCCCCUGGACAAAGACUGACGCUCAGGUGCGAAAGCGUGGGGAGCAAACAGGAUUAGAUACCCUGGUAGUCCACGCCGUAAACGAUGUCUACUUGGAGGUUGUGCCCUUGAGGCGUGGCUUCCGGAGCUAACGCGUUAAGUAGACCGCCUGGGGAGUACGGCCGCAAGGUUAAAACUCAAAUGAAUUGACGGGGGCCCGCACAAGCGGUGGAGCAUGUGGUUUAAUUCGAUGCAACGCGAAGAACCUUACCUGGUCUUGACAUCCACAGAACUUUCCAGAGAUGGAUUUGUGCCUUCGGGAACUGUGAGACAGGUGCUGCAUGGCUGUCGUCAGCUCGUGUUGUGAAAUGUUGGGUUAAGUCCCGCAACGAGCGCAACCCUUAUCCUUUGUUGCCAGCGGUCCGGCCGGGAACUCAAAGGAGACUGCCAGUGAUAAACUGGAGGAAGGUGGGGAUGACGUCAAGUCAUCAUGGCCCUUACGACCAGGGCUACACACGUGCUACAAUGGCGCAUACAAAGAGAAGCGACCUCGCGAGAGCAAGCGGACCUCAUAAAGUGCGUCGUAGUCCGGAUUGGAGUCUGCAACUCGACUCCAUGAAGUCGGAAUCGCUAGUAAUCGUGGAUCAGAAUGCCACGGUGAAUACGUUCCCGGGCCUUGUACACACCGCCCGUCACACCAUGGGAGUGGGUUGCAAAAGAAGUAGGUAGCUUAACCUUCGGGAGGGCGCUUACCACUUUGUGAUUCAUGACUGGGGUGAAGUCGUAACAAGGUAACCGUAGGGGAACCUGCGGUUG
This 1522-nucleotide ribosomal RNA is filed under the name Salmonella enterica. RNAcentral describes it as "bacterial SSU rRNA". It matches the Rfam family "Bacterial small subunit ribosomal RNA". The record is from RNAcentral. Lineage: Bacteria; Pseudomonadati; Pseudomonadota; Gammaproteobacteria; Enterobacterales; Enterobacteriaceae.